Molecule: ribosomal RNA, 488 nt
Filed under: uncultured bacterium
Lineage: Bacteria
Description: partial 16S ribosomal RNA
Rfam family: Bacterial small subunit ribosomal RNA
Source: RNAcentral
GAUGAACGCUAGCGGCAGGCCUAAUACAUGCAAGUCGGACGGGAUCCAUUGAUAGCUUGCUAUCAAUGGUGAGAGUGGCGCACGGGUGCGUAACGCGUGAGCAACCUGCCUCCAUCAGGGGGAUAGCCUCUCGAAAGAGAGAUUAACACCGCAUAAUAUCAACAGUUCGCAUGUUCAGUUGAUUAAAUAUUUAUAGGAUGGAGAUGGGCUCGCGUGACAUUAGCUAGUUGGUAGGGUAACGGCUUACCAAGGCGACGAUGUCUAGGGGCUCUGAGAGGAGAAUCCCCCACACUGGUACUGAGACACGGACCAGACUCCUACGGGAGGCAGCAGUAAGGAAUAUUGGUCAAUGGGCGGAAGCCUGAACCAGCCAUGCCGCGUGCAGGAUGACUGCCCUAUGGGUUGUAAACUGCUUUUGUCCAGGAAUAAACCUAAAUACGAGUAUUUAGCUGAAUGUACUGGAAGAAUAAGGAUCGGCUAACUCCGCG